RNAcentral lists this ribosomal RNA (1242 nucleotides) under metagenome. Its description in RNAcentral is "bacterial LSU rRNA". It matches the Rfam family "Bacterial large subunit ribosomal RNA", at positions 1564 to 2813 of the family's 2925-position model. The record is from RNAcentral.
UGAGUACGAGAUGCUACGGCAUCGAAGCAGUCUAUGUCAUACUUCCAAGAAAAGCUUGCAAUGUCAUAAACAAAUAAUGCCUGUACCAUAACCGACACAGGUGGGUAGGUAGAGUAUACUAAGGGGCGCGAGAUAACUCUCUCUAAGGAACUCGGCAAAAUGACUCUGUAACUUCGGGAGAAGGAGUGCCUUAUUUUUAUAAGGUUGCAAUAACAAGAUCCAAGCAACUGUUUACCAAAAACACAGGUCUCCGCUAAGUCGUAAGACGAUGUAUGGGGGCUGACGCCUGCCCAGUGCCAGAAGGUUAAAGAAGUUGGUUAGCAUUAGCGAAGCUGAUAACUGAAGCCCUGGUGAACGGCGGCCGUAACGAUAACGGUCCUAAGGUAGCGAAAUUCCUUGUCGGGUAAGUUCCGACCCGCACGAAAGGCGUAAUGAUUUGGAUACUGUCUCGGAGAGGGGCUCGGUGAAAUAGACUUGUCUGUGAAGAUGCGGACUACCUGCACCUGGACAGAAAGACCCUAUGAAGCUUUACUGUAACUUGAGAUUGAAAUUGGACUUUAUCUGCGCAGUAUAGGUGGGAGACGUUGAAAAUAUUCUUGCGGGAAUAUUGGAGUCAUCAGUGAGAUACCACUCUUAUAAUGUUAGAUUUCUAACUUUGUAUCAUUAUCUGGUCAAAGAACAGUUUCAGGCGGGCAGUUUGACUGGGGCGGUCGCCUCCCAAACGGUAACGGAGGCGCACAAAGGUUUCCUCUGAACGUGUAGAAAUCGUAUCUAGAGUGUAAAGGCAUAAGGAAGCUUGACUGUGAGACCUACAAGUCGAGCAGGGACGAAAGUCGGUCUUAGUGAUCUGACGGUGCUGAGUGGAAAGGCCGUCACUCAACGGAUAAAAGUUACUCUAAGGAUAACAGGCUGAUCUCCCCCAAGAGUUCACAUCGACGGGGAGGUUUGGCACCUCGAUGUCGGCUCAUCGCAUCCUGGGGCGGUAGUACGUCCCAAGGGUUGGGCUGUUCGCCCAUGAAAGCGGUACGCGAGCUGGGUUCAGAACGUCGUGAGACAGUUCGGUCCAUAUCCGGUGUAGGCGUUAGAAUAUUGAGAGGAGCCUUCUUUAGUACGAGAGGACCGAGAAGGACAUACCUCUGGUGUACCAGUUAUCGUGCCAACGGUAAACGCUGGGUAGCCAUGUAUGGAGAGGAUAACCGCUGAAAGCAUCUAAGUGGGAAGCCCACCUCAAGAUAAGUAUUC